AGCAGUAGCCGCGGUAAUACAGAGGGUGCGAGCGUUAAUCGGAUUUACUGGGCGUAAAGCGUGCGUAGGCGGCUUUUUAAGUCGGAUGUGAAAUCCCUGAGCUUAACUUAGGAAUUGCAUUCGAUACUGGGAAGCUAGAGUAUGGGAGAGGAUGGUAGAAUUCCAGGUGUAGCGGUGAAAUGCGUAGAGAUCUGGAGGAAUACCGAUGGCGAAGGCAGCCAUCUGGCCUAAUACUGACGCUGAGUUACGAAAGCAUGGGGAGCAAACAGGAUUAGAUACCCGCGUAGUCCCUGUCUCUUAUAC
This 303-nucleotide ribosomal RNA is filed under the name uncultured bacterium. Its description in RNAcentral is "partial 16S ribosomal RNA". It matches the Rfam family "Bacterial small subunit ribosomal RNA", at positions 507 to 807 of the family's 1533-position model. The record is from RNAcentral.